Molecule: ribosomal RNA, 312 nt
Filed under: uncultured Pseudomonas sp.
Lineage: Bacteria; Pseudomonadati; Pseudomonadota; Gammaproteobacteria; Pseudomonadales; Pseudomonadaceae
Description: bacterial SSU rRNA
Rfam family: Bacterial small subunit ribosomal RNA
Source: RNAcentral
UGUUGGGUUAAGGUCCGUAACGAGCGCAACCCUCGUCCUUAGUUACCAGCACGUUAUGGUGGGCGACUCUAAGGAGAACUGCCGGUGACAAACCGAGGAAGGUGGGGGAUGACGUCAAGUCAUCAUGGCCCUUACGGCCUGGGCUACACACGUGCUACAAUGGUCGGUACAAAGGGUUGCCAAGCCGCGAGGUGGAGCUAAUCCCAUAAAACCGAUCGUAGUCCGGAUCGCAGUCUGCAACUCGACUGCGUGAAGUCGGAAUCGCUAGUAAUCGUGAAUCAGAAUGUCACGGUGAAUACGUUCCCGGGCCUU